GUCGAGGGGCGGCGGGGGAGUAGCAAUACUCCCGCCGGCGACCGGCGCACGGGUGAGUAACACGUAUGAAACCUGCCCGUAGCAGGGGGAUAAGCGGAAGAAAUUCCGUCUAAUACCGCGUAACAACCCAUGGAGGCAUCUCUGUGGGUCUAAAGGAAGCGAUUCCGGCUACGGAUGGUCAUGCGUCGCAUUAGCUUGUUGGCGGGGUAACGGCCCACCAAGGCGACGAUGCGUAGGGGUUCUGAGAGGAAGGUCCCCCACACUGGUACUGAGACACGGACCAGACUCCUACGGGAGGCAGCAGUGAGGAAUAUUGGUCAAUGGCCGCAGGGCUGAACCAGCCAAGUCGCGUGAGGGAUGACGGUCCUAUGGAUUGUAAACCUCUUUUGUCAGGGAGCAAAGGGCGCCACGUGUGGCGCUUUGCGAGUACCUGAAGAAAAAGCAUCGGCUAACUCCGUGCCAGCAGCCGCGGUAAUACGGAGGAUGCGAGCGUUAUCCGGAUUUAUUGGGUUUAAAGGGUGCGCAGGCGGAAUGUCAAGUCAGCGGUAAAAUUUCGGGGCUCAACCCCGUCGUGCCGUUGAAACUGGCGUUCUUGAGUGAGCGAGAAGUAUGCGGAAUGCGUGGUGUAGCGGUGAAAUGCAUAGAUAUCACGCAGAACUCCGAUUGCGAAGGCAGCAUACCGGCGCUCAACUGACGCUCAUGCACGAAAGCGUGGGUAUCGAACAGGAUUAGAUACCCUGGUAGUCCACGCAGUAAACGAUGAAUACUAACUGUCCGGGCAGAAUGAUGCCUGGGUGGUACAGCGAAAGCGUUAAGUAUUCCACCUGGGGAGUACGCCGGCAACGGUGAAACUCAAAGGAAUUGACGGGGGCCCGCACAAGCGGAGGAACAUGUGGUUUAAUUCGAUGAUACGCGAGGAACCUUACCCGGGC
This 932-nucleotide ribosomal RNA is filed under the name uncultured bacterium. RNAcentral's name for it is "bacterial SSU rRNA". It matches the Rfam family "Bacterial small subunit ribosomal RNA", at positions 61 to 980 of the family's 1533-position model. The record is from RNAcentral.